Molecule: ribosomal RNA, 484 nt
Filed under: uncultured bacterium
Lineage: Bacteria
Description: partial 16S ribosomal RNA
Rfam family: Bacterial small subunit ribosomal RNA
Source: RNAcentral
AUUGAACGCUGGCGGCAGGCCUAACACAUGCAAGUCGAGCGGAUGAAGGGAGCUUGCUCCUGGAUUCAGCGGCGGACGGGUGAGUAAUGCCUAGGAAUCUGCCUGGUAGUGGGGGAUAACGUCCGGAAACGGGCGCUAAUACCGCAUACGUCCUGAGGGAGAAAGUGGGGGAUCUUCGGACCUCACGCUAUCAGAUGAGCCUAGGUCGGAUUAGCUAGUUGGUGGGGUAAAGGCCUACCAAGGCGACGAUCCGUAACUGGUCUGAGAGGGUGAUCAGGCACACUGGAACUGAGACACGGUCCAGACUCCUACGGGAGGCAGCAGUGGGGAAUAUUGGACAAUGGGCGAAAGCCUGAUCCAGCCAUGCCGCGUGUGUGAAGAAGGUCUUCGGAUUGUAAAGCACUUUAAGUUGGGAGGAAGAGCAGUAAGUUAAUACCUUGCUGUUUUGACGGUACCAACAGAAUAAGCACCGGCUAACUUCGUG